RNAcentral lists this long non-coding RNA (217 nucleotides) under Elaeis guineensis (African oil palm). RNAcentral's name for it is "long non-coding RNA (EGUI_LNC000469)". Lineage: Eukaryota; Viridiplantae; Streptophyta; Magnoliopsida; Arecales; Arecaceae. The record is from RNAcentral.
UCUGGUAUUUUUCAUAUUCUAUCAGUAAGAAACCCUAUGAUUUCUUGGCCACCAAUCCCAAAAAGGAAAGAAAGGAGGCGCUAGGAUUUCUAGUGCCCUCCUUUGUGCAAGCCCCCUUUUGUGUGCCCCUUCUUGACUGUCCAAGAGGAGUUUCAUGCCCCCAUCUUUUAUUUUUUGGAGGCCUCAUCAAGGGUGCUUCUAGAUCUCAAAAGGAGGA